AAAUUCAAUUCAAAUAAAUAAAAUACCUUCAAUAUAGAACAAUGUUAAAUAAAAAUUUUAAUCAAUUUUCACAAAAUUUACAAGUACAACUUUAAAAAUAGAAGAUAACAAUGUCUCAGCAUUGCCUAUCAACAGGCGUCCUGGCCCCUGUAAAAUAUCAACCAUGUAAAUACAACAAAUUUUGAGUGAGGGGAUUUUUAUUGACAACGUGACGAGGUGUCGUCUGCUAUAAAAGCAAAAUAUAUACAAUAAAUUAAAAAUGGCGGUAUUUACUGAAGCAAUGUCAUCUUCUCGAUGUAUUUUUGCAAUUUUAUCAAGAAAUUAUAAAUUCACGGCACCACAAUCAUGUACAAGUGUUAGAAACAUACAUUCAACAUUAAAUGACAAUAGUGAAAAUUAUGAUAUUAUUGUUACUGGAGGUGGUCUUGUGGGAACAACGCUUGCCUGUGCUUUAGCUAAUAAUAAAAUUCUCAAAUCAAAAAGCAUUUUAUUGCUAGAAGGUGGAAAUAAACAUGAAUAUAAACCAAGUGAACAAUAUUCAAAUAGAGUUGUUGCAUUAAAUCAAUUAUCUCGAACAUUAUUAUCAAGUAUUGGAGCAUGGAAACACGUGUCAGAAAUUCGUUACGCACCUGUGAGAAAAAUGCAGGUGUGGGAUAGUUGUUCCGAUGCAAUGAUAACAUUCAAUGAAGAUUAUUUAUCAGAUGAAAUAGCGUACAUUGUGGAAAAUGAUUUACUUUUAUACGCCGUGAAUAAACAAUUGGAGGAAAAAAAUUCUGUUCGUGUUAUUUAUAAUGCAAAAGUUGAGAAUAUUUCAUUGCCCGAGACAUCUGGAGAAAAUGCAAUUGUUAUCUUACAAAAUGGAGGAAAUUUUGGCACUAAAUUAUUGAUUGGCGCUGAUGGAAUAAAUUCGCGAGUUCGACAAGCAAUGGGUGUUCAACACGUUAAAUGGAGUUACAAUCAAAUGGGAAUUGUUGGUACGGUGGAAUUAUCAGAGCCCACUGAAAAUAUCGUUGCAUGGCAACGAUUUCUUCCCACUGGACCCAUCGCUUUAUUGCCCUUAACUGAAAGUUUGAGCUCAUUAGUAUGGUCAACAUCAACGGAUGAGGCAAAGAAACUUUUAAAAUUAUCCGAUGAGGCAUUUGUUGAUAAUUUAAAUGAAGCACUUUGGAAAGUUUAUCCAAAAGAUGGAACUGUUGAAAGUGGAAUGAAGGCGUUACAGCAAAUUUUGAAAAAUUUACAAUUAGAAACCGGUGUAUCUAGACAAUUACAGCCAUCAAUUUCUGGUAUUGUUGAAGAAUCACGAGCAGCGUUUCCUUUAGGUUUUGCGCAUUCUGUUUAUUAUGUGAAACCAGGAGUUGCCUUAGUAGGAGAUGCAGCGCACAGGGUUCAUCCUUUAGGUGGUCAAGGAUUAAAUUUGGGUUUAGGGGAUGUUAUGGUGUUAGUUCAAAUGUUGGCGGAUGCUGCAAAAAAUGGAGCCCUCCCUGGCGACAUGACUUAUUUAAAAAAAUACGAAACUGCACGACAAAGGCACAAUGUUCCAACUAUGUUGGCAAUGGAUGCCCUUCAUAGAUUAUAUAAAGGAACCGCUGCUCCAAUUGUUCUCGCACGAAGUUUAGGAUUACAACUCACAAAUGCAAUUUCUCCAUUAAAGAAAUAGCACUUCAUGCAACACAAUAAAUUCAAGUCAAUGAAGAUAAAUCUUAAUUUAUUCAAGAAGCAAAAUAUUUGAUUUAAGAAGAAUAUAAGUAGAGCAAUUUUUCAUCACGCGUCUGACGAUGAUAAUAAUUUGUGUCAAUAAAAAAGAAAAAGGAUCGAAGCAAUAAUUCCAAAAUUGACAUUAAAAAAUUGUCAAUUUUUUUUUCUUACGGUGCAAGAAAAUAUUAAUAUCAAUUUAAUAUUUCUUAAAAAAAAAAACAAAUUGAUAUUAUUAAUAUUACAUUUUUUAGAUUAUUUGUAAAACAUCAACAAAAAGAAAUAUGUGAUCUAAGUUAAUUUAUUGUAUAUAAAUUUAUUUAUAAACUCCGUUAUUUCAGAAUAUGAAAAUGUAUUCCGAUUUACAAAUAAAAAAAAUCGUAACUUAA
Leptopilina boulardi is the source of this 2081-nucleotide RNA transcript. It is a transcript of the gene named ubiquinone biosynthesis monooxygenase COQ6, mitochondrial, with no coding region annotated. The record is from RefSeq and is a predicted model, not a curated record. NCBI's taxonomy places the organism in Eukaryota, Metazoa, Arthropoda, Insecta, Hymenoptera, Figitidae. The transcript is spliced from 11 exons.